Molecule: long non-coding RNA, 3285 nt
Organism: Rhododendron vialii
Lineage: Eukaryota; Viridiplantae; Streptophyta; Magnoliopsida; Ericales; Ericaceae
Exons: 3
Source: RefSeq, a predicted model, not a curated record
UGUCUCGCAGCAGUUUUUGCAGAUUCGUGUUCAAACUUCAAACAGGCAUAACUUUGUCGUUAUAAAUCGAAACGAGGCUUAUAGUAUAUCGAAAUCUAUGUACUGAAAGUGUACUUUCCAACGGUGGUAGUCUGGUAAGCUAAUUUCAAUCGAGUAAAAAGAUAUGGCCAAAAUAAGACAGGCUGGUUGUGGUUGUUAUUCUUGUUUUGAGAGUUUUGUUGCGUUGGGCUGUUUGGUUGAGAUUGUACACUUAUGGGUCUUUAUAUUUGAUAUAUUUGGGUGUGUUGGAGUACCUUGGGGUAUGGAAAAGAUGUGUGAGGUCUCCCGAGUACGUGGGUACUCCCGGACACCUCUGGAGAUUUUGGUGACUUUAUGUAAUGUUUGCCCCAUGAGCUAGUGUAGAAGUGUAGAAGGCAUGUUAUGAUUUGUUAGUCUAGCAUUUGGUUUAACAUUCCUAGAUGUUCAUAUGCUAAUAUGGGUUAACUUGUGGCUAGGUAACGAGCCGGUCUUUUAGGAGGUGCCGAAACCGUAAGUUUGGCAUACUCCAGUCGAAUGAAAGGUGAGUGUGUCUGAUAUGGUUCUUCUCAAUAAGAUAUUGCGAUGGUGGUAGCAGGUGGCUUAGAGUGGGUCCACUACUGGUCAACGCUUUGGAGAGUGCUGGGACUAGUCUCGGGUGAUGUCGUUGGUUAGAUUGUUGUGUAGCUGAUUCGUCUAGAAGUUAACCUAAAUGUCUGUAAUUAAUUGGAGAGAGGGAUAUUUUUAUAACUUGUGAGUUGAGGUUUUGGCGUUGACUUGGUUGUAUUUUAAGUGAGAAGUCUUCCGCUAAGUUGUAUUCUGAUUGGUCGUAGAGUGUGGUGUGGUCUUUCGUAUGGAAUGCCACGUGGCCGCGCUGGCUCGGGCCCACUCUGGGUGCCGUUUGCGGGGCGGGGCGUGACAGCUUGGUAUCAGAGCUAGUACUUUCUAGACUCUGUGUUGAGAGUUGGUUGGGGGUUUGGUAGUGGACCAUAGGAGUUGAGGUUGUCGAGUAGCGGUUAGGGAUUUAACUAACGCGUGAGUUAUAUCCAUAACCAUUGUGUUUGAUGUUGACUGUUGAAACAGGUUUUUUCUGAUAAACGGAUUUGAAUCAUACGGUAUGUGUUGAGGAUGUUAUAUUUGGUGACAGUGUGGGAUUAACAACGAAUGUUAUUGACGGGGUGUUGUAGUUAUUGCACGGUUCACAUGAAUGCAGGGUAUUGAUAUGGCUCGAUUCAUGGGGCAGCAGAUGGUUGUGGUUCAUUGGCAGUUUGCACAGGGUUCAGGUACAUGUUUGCUUGAAAGGUUUAAAGAGAUUUUCCUUGUAUAGUUUGAGUGGGGUUAGUAUCUCUUUUAUUGCGGGAGGAUACAUGAGAUUUGUGGUACUAGAAUUGAAUGUUUUGAGCAUAGUGUCGGCGGUACCGUAGGUGGUGGUGUCGUGGGGAAGUUUUGACAAGUGUUGUAUCUAUUGGGGUUGUUUGAUGGUUAUGGGGUGAUCAUGUUUGUGGAAAUUUUUGUGUUUAAGGUUUAUUUAGGGUAGUGAUGUGCUUGCGGCAUAUGAUUUGGGUUGAGGGGAGAAUGAUUUAAGGUUGUGUGGUGAGUGAGAGUCCUAUGACAGUGCGAGUAGUUGAUGAGGUGAAUACGUGGAUGUUAUAAGUUUGGGGGUUUUAGUGGAUUUUAAGUUGUUGAGCUUAUAUGAGAGAAUAACAUAAUAGUUUGGAGUUUUGUGGGAAUGGUUUUGUUCAUUCCGUGAACUGGAAUAUGAUUAAAUGUGUUGUUAAGGUUAUAGUCUGGUGGGAGGUAAGGUUUGGGAAGCAGAGCGUGAGCUAGUAAGCGGUUGGUAAGUGGUGGUGUAACAUUGACACGUUAGUGUUUAAAUUAUGGGUUAAAAGAUUAUUCUGUUGGUGAGUGUCCUAUUGGAACUUUGGAUUUUGUGGAAAGUUUAUCAUUUCAAUGUGAACUAAUGGUUUUACUUAGGUUGUAGUGGGUUAGUUAACGAGGUCGGCACAUCUUUUACCAGUUGAGGUCCCUUGUACUACGGAUAAGUGUGCAAAAUUGUAUAUUGAUGGGAUUGUUGAGUGCACAGGGUGCAUGUGUCUUUUGUAGGUGACAGAGACCUACCGCGGAGUUGGGUACAACAACGGUUACUAGGGUUGGAGGUUGGUGAGAGGCAGAGAGAUGGUGGGUGUGAGGGUGAUGGUGAUGGCAGUGAAGGUGAUAGUGGUAAUGACGAGGAUGAUUGUGAGGAUAGUGGGAAUGGUAGUGAUAGUGCUGAGGAGAUUAAAGAGCAAAGGUUUCAAGUUUAGUGAGAGUUAGAGUUUUGAGAAAUCCAAAGAGGGUUCAGAGGAGACGAGAUAGGAGUACAGGCAGUGGAGAGCAGCGGUGGAGGGAGAAGAAGGAGAAGAAAAGGGAAUUAGGAUUAGAACUUGAAUUGAAGACCCUAUUUGGUAAUUCAUGCUUUCCUAUACUUAAAUCAAUGAUUUUAUUGUUCAAUUUCAUACUUGGUAUAUUGCUAGCUCUGAAUUGAAGCCAUGAGAGAUGGUUUUUGAGGUUGGAAUUGGGUUUAAUUUCAGAAAAUUCGUGGUAUAUUAUGAAUAUGCAUAACUGUGUUGAACCAAGUUGAAACUGUCCUAUUUUUGACGAAUUUAUUCAAGGUACCUAGAAAUCUUCUAAAUUCUUGAAAAAAAUCCUGAAUGUUUGUCUGUGAGUGUAUUGCAUCGUGUUAAAUUUUCAGAAAAUAACACAAAGUGGUUUGGCCUACAAAAUUCGUGGACCGAGCUGCUGUCAGAUUCGCGUCUGUGCAGGCAGCACAGACACGUGUUGGAAACACGGGCAUAACUUCUUGCUCGGGUAUCGGUUUUACGCACUGUUUCUUGAUUCCGAAACUAGACUCGUAUAUCUUUCUGAAUAUGUAUGGGUUGUGUCGUGGUUCUUUCUAGAUUAUAGCAGUUUUAGAAUUAAAGUUCAGGUUUUGUUAACUCUGGAAAUCUGGGCAGGUUUUGGAGCUAUGUUAUUCAUCAAUGUUGUCAUAGUUAAAUGUACUUACUGGCUAUGGGUUCUCGUGAGUCUUAAACACUGAUCAAUUGGUGAUGUUUUGGUAUUAGAAUUAAUGGAAAAGAUUGAGUAUGUGAUUUUUAAUGAGCAUUCGAUCACAGGCUGUUCUGCAGAAACUGCAGAGUUGUGUUUCUAAGUGUGCAUUUUUGUUUGAGAUACUGUGCUUGUGUGAGGAGUUGUUGAGAAUUUUCGUGCCUUGUGUAAAGGUAAAGUGUGAGG